ACGAUAAUGUUAUCGUGUGAUAUGACCAACAAAAAUAAUUUUUACUAAUGUUGAUUGAUGUUAUGUUAAGUUUUAACAUAACCUUUUAAACCACAUCGGGUUUAACGCUAAUUCUACGUUGGUACUACUAUCCCAUAUAGUUAAAUAUUUUUAUCCAUUAUUAAGUUGUUUAACUAUCGUGUAGUUACAGUGUUUUAAUGUAACAUUUUAGUAAAUGUUUUAUUUUUACGUCGUAACAAUUAUUAAAUAAUAAUUUAACCUUUUUAGAUGAUAAAAUUGUACUAAAGUUAUAUACCGGGUCAAAUUUUCAUAUAUAAAAAUUGAUACAUCUAAUUGCCAAAUAAUAUUAUCGCGUAAUCCAGAGAAAAGGUACGGACGACCGAGUGGCGCGUAACGCAAUCCCGCAGAUAUAAAUGUAUAUUAGUUAUAGGGUAUUAGAUACUUAACUAUGUGUAUAUAAUGCUAAGACACAAUAGUUAGUUAUAAGAAAGUAUCAAUACAACACAAAUUAACAAAACAAAAGUCACAAAAGUGUAUGCAAAUCAGAACCAAAAAAUAAUCGACCAGUAAAGUUAUACGUCGGAAACGGAACAACACCAAAAAUAACUCACCAGUUGAGGUGUACGUCGAAAACGGAACAGAAAGCAAUAUCGGUAAUCCAUAUUCGGCGGUGGCCUUAUCUCAGUGUCAAGGGCGGGGAGACGACCGAUGACAACCGAUUGUCAUAUUAAUGGCUGGACGGCUGAUAUCGAGAGAGA
Long non-coding RNA from Daktulosphaira vitifoliae (grape phylloxera), 758 nucleotides. RefSeq lists it as uncharacterized. NCBI's taxonomy places the organism in Eukaryota, Metazoa, Arthropoda, Insecta, Hemiptera, Phylloxeridae. The record is from RefSeq and is a predicted model, not a curated record. The transcript has 3 exons.